Molecule: ribosomal RNA, 484 nt
Filed under: uncultured bacterium
Lineage: Bacteria
Description: partial 16S ribosomal RNA
Rfam family: Bacterial small subunit ribosomal RNA
Source: RNAcentral
GACGAACACUGGCGGCGUGCUUAACACAUGCAAGUCGAACGAUGAAGCUAGAGCUUGCUCUGGUGGAUUAGUGGCGAACGGGUGAGUAACACGUGAGUAACCUGCCCCGAACUCUGGGAUAACUGCUGGAAACGGUAGCUAAUACUGGAUACGACCAACGAAGGCAUCUUCUGUUGGUGGAAAGAAUUUCGGUUCGGGAUGGACUCGCGGCCUAUCAGCUUGUUGGUGAGGUAACGGCUCACCAAGGCGACGACGGGAAGCCGGCCUGAGAGGGUGAUCGGCCACACUGGGACUGAGACACGGCCCAGACUCCUACGGGAGGCAGCAGUGGGAAAUAUUGCACAAUGGGCGCAAGCCUGAUGCAGCAACGCCGCGUGAGGGACGACGGCCUUCGGAUUGUAAACCUCUUUUAGUAGGGAAGAAGCGAAAGUGACGGUACCUGCAGAAAAAGCACCGGCUAACUACGUGCCAGCCGCCGCGGUAA